RNAcentral lists this ribosomal RNA (533 nucleotides) under uncultured bacterium. RNAcentral's name for it is "bacterial SSU rRNA". It matches the Rfam family "Bacterial small subunit ribosomal RNA", at positions 385 to 917 of the family's 1533-position model. The record is from RNAcentral.
GACCAGCCAUGCCGCGUGGAGGAUGAAGGUCCUCUGGAUUGUAAACUUCUUUUCUCUGGGACGAAACCCCCGAUUUCCAUCGGGCCUGACGGUACCAGAGGAAUAAGCACCGGCUAACUCCGUGCCAGCAGCCGCGGUAAUACGGAGGGUGCAAGCGUUAUCCGGAUUCACUGGGUUUAAAGGGUGCGUAGGCGGGUUUGUAAGUCAGUGGUGAAAUCCCCGAGCUUAACUUGGGAACUGCCAUUGAUACUGCAAGUCUUGAAUUUUCUGGAGGUAAGCGGAAUAUGUCAUGUAGCGGUGAAAUGCUUAGAUAUGACAUAGAACACCCAUUGCGAAGGCAGCUUACUACGGGAAUAUUGACGCUGAGGCACGAAAGCGUGGGGAUCAAACAGGAUUAGAUACCCUGGUAGUCCACGCCCUAAACGAUGAUUACUCGACAUUAGCGAUAUUACAGUUAGUGUCUAAGCGAAAGCAUUAAGUAAUCCACCUGGGAAGUACGACCGCAAGGUUGAAACUCAAAGGAAUUUGACGGA